Callithrix jacchus (white-tufted-ear marmoset) is the source of this 1633-nucleotide non-coding RNA. The record is from RefSeq and is a predicted model, not a curated record. NCBI's taxonomy places the organism in Eukaryota, Metazoa, Chordata, Mammalia, Primates, Cebidae.
UGGUUGGGAAAGAGCAGAUAAAUCUGAGGAAUUUGAAUUCCCAUAUACACCUAAAACAUUGUUAAUUGAUGCAGCUUCUUUAUAUAUAAACUGGAACAGUUGCCUCUCAUUGGAAUUUCAGUUGUUCUCAGGACUCACUUCCAUCAGCUUAUAUGUUCUGCAGGUCGAUAAGAAGAAUUAGAUGCCAGCAGAGUUCAAAUGGAGAAGUAUAAAUACUAAUCUGAAAUGAAAUAGCCUAUCUGCUGAAAGAGAUGUAGUAUCUUGCUGAUCAGCAUCAAUAAAAGUCCAGAGAGCAUGAAAGGGAUUCUAAAAUUUUUAGGUCCAGGAGCAUGGAAUAUAAGACCAAUAUGGGUUUAAUUUAUUGAAAUAAAUGUACUCACUCAGCAGCCAGGAUUUGUGUUGGUUUAAACACACUGAAAGUAAAUAGUAAUAGUUUGCUUGGAUGAAGAAUUGAAGGCAGACCUACAGUCAAUGAAAUUGAGAUGCUGGAAUUUGCAAGGCACACUGAACAGGAAAGUUGCCUGAAGGCCUAGAACAUGUUGGAAUGAAUGUAUUACGUGCUAUCUGCUUAACCAGUCCCUAACUUCAACUCUAGGGAAGCCUGAGGGAUACUUGCUUCUCUAAGCCUUCUUAGAAAGGUGACUGUCCUUUUGCAGCCUAGAAAUAAAUUCUACUAUGGAAUUGAGCGCCCCAGUUUCCAUGAGAGCAGUGGAAUCUUGAGAUCCUAGAGUAAUAAAGGUACUUACCUGUUAGCACAGAGAUAAGCACAAUUAUCAUAAUACACUUUAGAGAGCACAGAGUACUCUCCCAAGCUAAUUGACCAAAGGAUCUCUAGGAAUUAAAUAGGGGGAGCUACAGAACAGGCAGCAUUAGCCAAACAUAUUUGCCGGUGGGACCUAUUUUUCAGGCACAUUGGUAGAAUCUCCCUAAGGAAAAACAGGACACUUGUAAGUUUCCUGAGGCCAUGUGAAACUCUUAAAAUGAUCAGUUCUGAGAUUUAUCAACAAAAGAGUUCAUUGGAGGAAAAUUACUUUUCUUGAAAGAAAGAAAGAAAGAAAAAGGAAUGAAGAAGAGGAAAAAGGAAGAGGAGGAGGGAGAGAGAACGGGAGUGUUGCUUAAUUGCCCAGGCUAGAAUGCAGUCUAAAAAUGGGUAUUGAAAACCUCCCUUAUACCAUCAAUCAUGCUUAAUAAUGGCCAACCAAUAUUUCAUUUAAACCUGUGAGUAGGUGUGAUGUGGUACUGAUAAGAGUGCGUAUCUUGUGUGUUUAAAGUAGAGAGUUCUAUAAAUGUUUAUUAAGUUUACUUGUUCCAGAUCUGAGUUCAAGUCCAGGAUAUCCUUAUUAAUUUUCUGUCUCAUUGAUGUAUCUAAUAUUGAUGUUGAAUUCUCCCACUACUACUACUGUGCGGGAGUCCAAGUCUCUUUACAAGUCUUAUGUAUCCUGUAUUGGGUGGGUACACAUCCAGGAUCGUCAGCUCUUCUUGUUACAUUGAUCCUUUUACCAUUAUGUCCUCUUUUGAUCUUUGUUGCUUUAAAAUCCAUUGUAUUAAAGCAUUUUUUCAUGACUUUAUAAACAAAUUUAUGAUGCACAUGAGCUCUCUGGUAUCUUUUCUUGUAAGAAUAUUAAUCCUGUCA